Molecule: long non-coding RNA, 722 nt
Filed under: Fukomys damarensis (Damara mole-rat)
Lineage: Eukaryota; Metazoa; Chordata; Mammalia; Rodentia; Bathyergidae
Description: lncRNA (ENSFDAG00000028420.1)
Source: RNAcentral
CUCCCUUUUGAACCUGAGGGCUGGAGUUCCUAAAAACGUCCAGACCAAGUAAGCUUUUACUUGCUCUCCUCCUGAACCAUGCCCUCUGUACCAAGGCUGUUGGAAAAUUCCUAAGAUUUUACCGCAGAGUGCUUUGUGGUCCUGGGAUGCAGGAAGAUUUGAAUGCUGAUUAUUAUCACAAGGAUGAGGAGGAUUUGCACACACACAAACAUCUGUGAUACCAAGCAAAUUAUAAGGCACAGGCGAAGCACUCUGAGGACCUGGGAAGAUAUUAAUUAUCAGUGAGCGCUUCAAUGGAAAGAGUCUUUAUUAGGAAAUCACUGGAGGUGAGUCUUAAACCACCCUGAAAGAGGAAACAAGAUGUGCAAGUCAGAAGAGGGCAGCGUAUUGCCCAGAGAAUUCUAGGCUGCCUUAACCAUUGACGUGACCCUGUGUGUGUGCAGACAGCACAACCUACAACUGCACAGGACGAAGCAAGAGCCUGCAGCACUGUGCAGAUCAACACAUGCGUGACUUCCAGCCUGGACAAAUGUGGGGAACUAGGUGCUUGUGCGAAACUACUACACUUUCCUCUUCCUAAAUAUAUUAUUUAAAUAAAGUAGGCUAGCUAACAGUGUCAAUAGUAAUUGAGUGGAACUAAUAAGCAGAUAUUACCUAUGACAAAAAUGUAAAACUAUUUUAAUAGUAUUUAAGUAUUCAAUAAUAUUUAUUGUCAUUCUCUA